UAAUAUAAUAAGACAACAGGUUUGAAAUAAUAUUUAUUAUUUCAAUUAAAAGGGAAACAGGUGUAACUCCUGUACGGUCCCGCCGCUGUAAUAAAAGAGUAGUGCAGAAUAUGCCACUGUUAAUAUGGGAAGGCUUUGUACUAUGUUGAUUUUUAAGUCAGAAGACCUGCCUGUUGUUAUAGAUCAUA
This 188-nucleotide non-coding RNA is filed under the name Clostridium tetani. RNAcentral also lists the same sequence under 1 other name. Lineage: Bacteria; Bacillati; Bacillota; Clostridia; Eubacteriales; Clostridiaceae. The record is from RNAcentral.